GUUGGAUUAUUGCAAGAGGUGGCUUUGUUUAAGGAACAAUGUCAACAUAAGAGACAAAUAGAAGAGAGACAUAAGAAGGCCAUGGAAAAAGAAUGAGAGAGUGGUCUUAUGUUCUGUUUUGGGAUAAGAGUUUCGGAACCAAACUAUAGUUUCAAGACAAAGGCAACAACAUAAUAAGGAUAUUAUGAUUAAUGUGGCCUCUUAAAAUUAUUACACAAAAUAUGGCACUUGCCAUGUUUCUCGAAAGAGGUAGUCACGGGCAUCACGGCUCUGGUUCCAGCUAAGAUAUACGUAUGUCCCUUAAGAGUGGCCAUCAAUGGUGUGGUCAUUAGUGGGUUAGCUAACCACUAAGCUAUUAGCUUUGUCACAAACCACAAGUACUCUUCAAAAGUCUUUUAGUUCGGUUAGAGAAUGUUGAAGAAGUUGUAUGUACAAGAUUAUACUAGAAAAACUAUAGCUUCCAAACUCAUGUAAAAAAAAUUCAGAUUCACGAUGGUCCAGACUAACAAACAUUUUUAUUUUUUUUUAUAAAUCCUUUUGGCUGCAUACUGUAAAGCAAUUGGGUUUUGGCUCAAUUAACGUACUUCCCACACAACCAUAAUUUUUGUUUUCAGGAUAGAUCGAACCUGGGUUAAUUCCUUCCAACAUUUUUCUAAUUCUCUCUUACCACUAGACCACGGCUGUGCGGGCACUAACAAACAUUAUUCAUCUAAACAUGUUUAUAAUCUUGCUUAUUCUUCCCUUAAUGUUUUUCAUGAAUUCCAACUAUGAUACAUAUACUAUUUCUUGAAAAUAAUCAUCGUAGGUGUUAGCGGUUUAGCAACCACUAAACACUAAUCUUGUCUCAAACUAAUGUGGCUUGCACAGUUGCAUGGCAGCAAUGGUCGGUCAUCUAUAUAUCACCCCGAGUGGCCUCACAUUGUGCUAUGAGUACGAUCGUAUCUUUGCAACGUUUAGUCCUUUUUGUUUAUCUUGUAGUUAUUAUGGAUCUGAGUCGAGUUUUAAAGCUUGGAUAUUGUCUACUUUGAAAACAUGUUUAAUUUAUCUUUCCUCUUAUGUAAGUUUAUUGGUGUGUUUGGCUUACAAGGAUAACUUGUAAUCAUUUAAAAUC
RNAcentral lists this long non-coding RNA (1111 nucleotides) under Capsella rubella. RNAcentral describes it as "long non-coding RNA (CRUB_LNC002094)". Lineage: Eukaryota; Viridiplantae; Streptophyta; Magnoliopsida; Brassicales; Brassicaceae. The record is from RNAcentral.